CUCCCUUAGCUCAUGACAAAGACUCAGUCCUAAGUGAGAAAAACAAAUUCUCUUUUGCAACCCAGAAUCAUUGUUGAAUGUGAGUUUUGACACAGAUAAGAAGGAAUGUG
This is a small nucleolar RNA of Suricata suricatta (meerkat), 110 nucleotides long. The record is from Ensembl. NCBI's taxonomy places the organism in Eukaryota, Metazoa, Chordata, Mammalia, Carnivora, Herpestidae.